AGGGACGAGAGAUGCGGAUACGUUGGCCUAUAACGCUGCGUUAGGCCUUCCACGUGUCUCCUAAAGGCUGAACCCACUACGCCGUCCCAUCCAAUUGCCUGUGCAGAUAAUUUCCUUCCAUCCUUUUCUCUAAUCCCCCCUCCUAUUAUUGUGAUACGACAAGCCAUCGGAAGACCACGGAAGAGGGUCUCUCUUGCAUCUCCCAUAUAUGGAACUGCCCACGCUAAGAGGAGAGUAUGGUCACGUAUGUGCACGAAGUCGGAAUUGGCUCUCAGGGGCAAAAAGCAAAAGGAAAAGCAGAAGCGAGAUGAUUCAUGGUUGUUGCCACGGAGGACUGAGCUGGCUGAGCUAUAGUUGAUGGUGGAAAGAUAAUGGCGGGGUGACUCAUGACGUCAAGAGGCUCACCAGAGACCUCAAUGGGAUUCACAACAGCCGGAUCUAUGGCCGAAUCUCCGAGAGCAUCCUGAAAUAUCAUAAAUCGAGAAAUUUCAUUUGUCGGGACCUUUCGAUAGAAGAUCUUUCAAUGCCUAAGUUAGAUUACUCCGAUGGAAUAGAAGAGAUUCAGAAUAGAAGUAGACAGAG
This 582-nucleotide long non-coding RNA is filed under the name Elaeis guineensis (African oil palm). RNAcentral describes it as "long non-coding RNA (EGUI_LNC001419)". Lineage: Eukaryota; Viridiplantae; Streptophyta; Magnoliopsida; Arecales; Arecaceae. The record is from RNAcentral.